CCAUAGCCAAUGGAGGAGGAAUAGCAGCAGGUGGUUUGGUGGCUGUCCUACAGUCUGCAGGAGCGGCUGGACUCUCAGCUGCUGGCAGUGCUGUGGUCGGGACAGUAGGGGCUGCGACUGGCUACGGUAUUAAAAAGGCUUUUGACAGUGACUAAAGAAUCUUAAAUCGUUGUAAAGAAUACAGCACAGAGACUGAGAUGUAACUUGUAUUCCUGGUUGUUCUCGAGUCACCAUUGAGCAGUGACUCUGUUCCUUGUGAUUGGGAUAAAAGUGACAUUCCAGUGUGGCUGUAAAUGUCAAGCUUCACCUA
Callorhinchus milii (elephant shark) is the source of this 310-nucleotide long non-coding RNA. RefSeq lists it as uncharacterized. The record is from RefSeq and is a predicted model, not a curated record. Lineage: Eukaryota; Metazoa; Chordata; Chondrichthyes; Chimaeriformes; Callorhinchidae. The transcript is spliced from 2 exons.